Molecule: long non-coding RNA, 660 nt
Filed under: Cicer arietinum (chickpea)
Lineage: Eukaryota; Viridiplantae; Streptophyta; Magnoliopsida; Fabales; Fabaceae
Description: long non-coding RNA (CARI_LNC002080)
Source: RNAcentral
UCUAGUUUCAUAUUUUAACUUGCAAUCUGAUAAUAUAAAGUUUGAAAAGUUGUAAAUAUGAAGAUAAUGAGAAGAUACAUGCCUUUUCAGAUACCGGUGAAGACAGAGACGGUGGUGUGCGGUGGAAGUUAGAACGACGGUGAUGCCUUCUGUUUCUUCUUCUCUUUCUUUUUAUGUGUUUUUUAUCAGUAUUAAUCUCAGAUUUCUCCUCCCCUCUUUUUUGAAAUUUGAUAAGGUGUAUUUAUAGAGUUUUUUAUCUGUUUAGUUGCUUUCUUGCUUGUCUUUGUCCUUCUCCAUCAAGGUCCUGUUUGAUGUUUCGUUUUCUUUGCUCAUCAUCUACAUUUUUCUGCACAUUUGAUGCCUUCAUAAAUUUAGAGUAUUUGUUCUGAUCUGUUCAUUGCUGAACUUUUAUUUGUCUUUUAGUUUCUUUUUUUUUAAACUCUAAAAUUUGUCUCUUUGUUCUGCACAAUGUGUACCAAGACUGACUUAAAAAAUUAUAUUUUUAUGUUUCUCAAAUUAGUUAAAACAGGAACAGAUGUAUCAAUAAGCAUGGCUUGUGCAUCAAUGGCAGUCAUCAUCAACAUAGCAGACUUUGGCAGUGAACAAAGUCAACAUAGCAUGGCUUGAUCUGAUUUAAUUUUUACUGUAAUUUAAUUUGGC